RNAcentral lists this ribosomal RNA (253 nucleotides) under uncultured bacterium. RNAcentral describes it as "partial 16S ribosomal RNA". It matches the Rfam family "Bacterial small subunit ribosomal RNA", at positions 524 to 776 of the family's 1533-position model. The record is from RNAcentral.
UAUGGAGGGUGCAAGCGUUGUUCGGAAUCACUGGGCGUAAAGCGCGUGUAGGCGGCCUCUUAAGUCUGGUGUGAAAGCCCGGGGCUCACCCCCGGAAGGGCACUGGAUACUGGGAGGCUAGAGUACCGGAGAGGAGGGUGGAAUUCCUGGUGUAGCGGUGAAAUGCGUAGAUAUCAGGAGGAACACCGGUGGCGAAGGCGGCCCUCUGGACGGCUACUGACGCUGAGACGCGAAAGCGUGGGGAGCAAACAGG